AGUCUGUGAUUCAGGCUCUAUCUGCAAAUUUUGCAAGUUGAUUAACAGACGAAACAGAUGUUAAUGCAUACAACUGUUUUUAUUAACUUCAUAAUCAAUUUUGGAGGGUAAGAAGCAUCCUAAAUCUUGCCUCCACCUUCAAACUAAGAACAACAAAAAGAGAGGAGAAUUGACCGGCAGCCAGAAACUGCUGUCCAGUUUUCAUAUAUGGUUGGGCUGGGCAAUCCUUUUCCAGGCCCAUCAUUUUUAAGGUUUGGGCAGGCUGGCCCGUAACUCAUAAUUUGGUGUAGCUCUGAGUAGAGUAGCCGAAAUAGAACAGACUAACAGUUUUUUAUUCAAGUGAUUAUAUCAUCUGUUUUGUGCAGCAGUAAAACUUGCAACCCAGAAACAUUAACCUACUUCCCUUUCUAUUCACCAUCUUUGUAAGCAUCUUAUUAUAGAGCAGUAAAACUUGCAGCUCAGAGAAAUUAAUGCACAAGAGGAAAUUAUAAUCCUACUUCUCUUUUAUAGUCACCAUUUCAGUAAGCGUCUUAGGUGGAAAUGCAAACAAG
This 551-nucleotide unclassified non-coding RNA is filed under the name Hevea brasiliensis (rubber tree). Lineage: Eukaryota; Viridiplantae; Streptophyta; Magnoliopsida; Malpighiales; Euphorbiaceae. The record is from RNAcentral.